CUAUUGAAAAAGUUGUUCCGAUAAAAUUGGAAUGAUACAGAGAAUAUUAGCAUGGCCCCUGCGCAAGGAUGCAAACACGCACAAAUCGUCUCU
Molecule: non-coding RNA, 93 nt
Organism: Nicotiana attenuata
Lineage: Eukaryota; Viridiplantae; Streptophyta; Magnoliopsida; Solanales; Solanaceae
Source: Rfam